GACGAACGCUGGCGGCGUGCCUAAUACAUGCAAGUAGAACGCUGAAGAGAGGAGCUUGCUCUUCUUGGAUGAGUUGCGAACGGGUGAGUAACGCGUAGGUAACCUGCCUUGUAGCGGGGGAUAACUAUUGGAAACGAUAGCUAAUACCGCAUAACAAUGGAUGACACAUGUCAUUUAUUUGAAAGGGGCAAUUGCUCCACUACAAGAUGGACCUGCGUUGUAUUAGCUAGUAGGUGAGGUAAUGGCUCACCUAGGCGACGAUACAUAGCCGACCUGGGAGGGUGAUCGGCCACACUGGGACUGAGACACGGCCCAGACUCCUACGGGAGGCAGCAGUAGGGAAUCUUCGGCAAUGGGGGCAACGCUGACCGAGCAACGCCGCGGGAGUGAAGAAGGUUUUCGGAUCGUAAAGCUCUGUUGUAAGUCAAGAACGGGUGUGAGAGUGGAAAGUUCACACUGUGACGGUAGCUUACCAGAAAGGGACGGCUAACUACGUG
This 497-nucleotide ribosomal RNA is filed under the name uncultured bacterium. RNAcentral describes it as "partial 16S ribosomal RNA". It matches the Rfam family "Bacterial small subunit ribosomal RNA", at positions 28 to 507 of the family's 1533-position model. The record is from RNAcentral.